AGGAUUAACGCUGGCGGCGUGCCUAACACAUGCAAGUCGAACGAGGUAGCAAUACCUAGUGGCAGACGGGUGAGUAACGCGUGGUCAACCUACCGUUGAGUGGGGGAUAACUAGCCGAAAGGUUAGCUAAUACCGCAUACGAGUCUUGGGGGCAUCCCUGGGACUUAAAAGGAGCAAUCCGCUCGAUGACGGGACCGCGUCCCAUUAGCUAGAUGGUGGGGUAACGGCCUACCAUGGCACCGAUGGGUAGCUGGUUUGAGAGAGCGACCAGCCACACUGGGACUGAGAAACGGCCCAGACUCCUACGGGAGGCAGCAGUGAGGAUUUUCCGCAAUGGGCGAAAGCCUGACGGAGCGACGCCGCGUGUGGGAAGAAGGCCUUCGGGUCGUAAACCACUGUCGAAGGGGACGAUAAUGACGGUACCCUUGGAGGAAGCCCGGCUAACUACGUGCCAGCAGCCGC
RNAcentral lists this ribosomal RNA (462 nucleotides) under uncultured bacterium. RNAcentral describes it as "SSU rRNA". It matches the Rfam family "Bacterial small subunit ribosomal RNA", at positions 26 to 518 of the family's 1533-position model. The record is from RNAcentral.